CUACAAACUUACUGCUAUGCACAUUUUCAGAUGAAAAUGAUGACCAGGAUUUUGAGCACUGGGAUGAUGUAGGUUUGAACACAAGCCGACCACCAAACCUGGUACAGAUGUUGCGAGAAGGUGGUCAUUCUGUUGCAGAUCUCGUAUCGUGUGCUUGUCAGACAGAUGGAUCAACUGAUAUUUCUCAAGAAAUCAGACAAUAUCAGAUUGAAGUUGAAAGGUUGCAGAAGGAACUAGAAGUUAGAAAGGAUAUUGUAGCUUCACAGUCAAAGUAAGGAUACUGUUAAAAAAAAAAAAAAA
Long non-coding RNA from Penaeus monodon (black tiger shrimp), 300 nucleotides. RefSeq lists it as uncharacterized. NCBI's taxonomy places the organism in Eukaryota, Metazoa, Arthropoda, Malacostraca, Decapoda, Penaeidae. The transcript has 2 exons. The record is from RefSeq and is a predicted model, not a curated record.